RNAcentral lists this ribosomal RNA (433 nucleotides) under uncultured bacterium. RNAcentral describes it as "partial 16S ribosomal RNA". It matches the Rfam family "Bacterial small subunit ribosomal RNA", at positions 29 to 507 of the family's 1533-position model. The record is from RNAcentral.
AGCGAACGCUGGCGGCAGGCCUAACACAUGCAAGUCGAACGAACUCUUCGGAGUUAGUGGCGGACGGGUGAGUAACACGUGGGAACGUGCCUUUUGGUUCGGAAUAACUCAGGGAAACUUGUGCUAAUACCGAAUGUGCCCUUCGGGGGAAAGAUUUAUCGCCAUUAGAGCGGCCCGCGUCUGAUUAGCUAGUUGGUGAGGUAACGGCUCACCAAGGCGACGAUCAGUAGCUGGUCUGAGAGGAUGACCAGCCACACUGGGACUGAGACACGGCCCAGACUCCUACGGGAGGCAGCAGUGGGGAAUCUUGCGCAAUGGGCGAAAGCCUGACGCAGCUAUGCCGCGUGAAUGAUGAAGGUCUUAGGAUUGUAAAAUUCUUUCACCGGGGACGAUAAUGACGGUACCCGGAGAAGAAGCCCCGGCUAACUUCGUG